AUACGUAGGGGGCGAGCGUUGUCCGGAAUGAUUGGGCGUAAAGGGCGCGUAGGCGGCCCGGUAAGUCUGGAGUGAAAGUCCUGCUUUUAAGGUGGGAAUUGCUUUGGAUACUGUCGGGCUUGAGUGCAGGAGAGGUAAGUGGAAUUCCCAGUGUAGCGGUGAAAUGCGUAGAGAUUGGGAGGAACACCAGUGGCGAAGGCGACUUACUGGACUGUAACUGACGCUGAGGCGCGAAGGUGUGGGGAGCAAACAGGAUUAGAUACCCUGGUAGUCCACACUGUAAACGAUGAAUGCUAGGUGUAGGGGGUAUCGACCCCUUCUGUGCCGCAGUUAACACAAUAAGCAUUCCGCCUGGGGAGUACGGCCGCAAGGUUGAAACUCAAAUGAAUUGACGGGG
RNAcentral lists this ribosomal RNA (397 nucleotides) under uncultured bacterium. Its description in RNAcentral is "partial 16S ribosomal RNA". It matches the Rfam family "Bacterial small subunit ribosomal RNA", at positions 523 to 918 of the family's 1533-position model. The record is from RNAcentral.